This 735-nucleotide ribosomal RNA is filed under the name uncultured Providencia sp. Its description in RNAcentral is "bacterial SSU rRNA". It matches the Rfam family "Bacterial small subunit ribosomal RNA", at positions 761 to 1502 of the family's 1533-position model. Lineage: Bacteria; Pseudomonadati; Pseudomonadota; Gammaproteobacteria; Enterobacterales; Morganellaceae. The record is from RNAcentral.
GUGGGGAGCAAACAGGAUUAGAUACCUGUAGUCACGCUGUAAACGAUGUCGAUUUGGAGGUUGUUCCUGAGGAGUGGCUCCGGAGCUAACGCGUUAAAUCGACCGCUGGGGAGUACGGCCGCAAGGUUAAAACUCAAAUGAAUUGACGGGGGCCCGCACAAGCGGUGGAGCAUGUGGUUUAAUUCGAUGCAACGCGAAGAACCUUACCUACUCUUGACAUCCAGAGAAUUUAGCAGAGAUGCUUUAGUGCCUUCGGGAACUCUGAGACAGGUGCUGCAUGGCUGUCGUCAGCUCGUGUUGUGAAAUGUUGGGUUAAGUCCCGCAACGAGCGCAACCCUUAUCCUUUGUUGCCAGCACAUUAUGGUGGGAACUCAAAGGAGACUGCCGGUGAUAAACCGGAGGAAGGUGGGGAUGACGUCAAGUCAUCAUGGCCCUUACGAGUAGGGCUACACACGUGCUACAAUGGCGUAUACAAAGAGAAGCGACCUCGCGAGAGCAAGCGGAACUCAUAAAGUACGUCGUAGUCCGGAUUGGAGUCUGCAACUCGACUCCAUGAAGUCGGAAUCGCUAGUAAUCGUAGAUCAGAAUGCUACGGUGAAUACGUUCCCGGGCCUUGUACACACCGCCCGUCACACCAUGGGAGUGGGUUGCAAAAGAAGUAGGUAGCUUAACCUUCGGGAGGGCGCUUACCACUUUGUGAUUCAUGACUGGGGUGAAGUCGUAACAAGGUAACCA